GCAGUUCUGAGCACAGUACAC
This 21-nucleotide microRNA is filed under the name Homo sapiens (human). RNAcentral describes it as "hsa-miR-4277". The record is from miRBase by way of RNAcentral. Lineage: Eukaryota; Metazoa; Chordata; Mammalia; Primates; Hominidae.